Molecule: small RNA, 165 nt
Filed under: Salix viminalis (osier)
Lineage: Eukaryota; Viridiplantae; Streptophyta; Magnoliopsida; Malpighiales; Salicaceae
Source: RNAcentral
AUAUGUCUGGUGAUGUCGCUGGCUAGGCCAGUCAGAAAAACCCAAAUUCCAGUGACGAGAUCCAUUUCUCUGGUCCAACAUUCUGUGAUUAUAUGAACUAGCCAUCUGAACAUCAUAGGGAGACACAAAGGUACCAAGUUUCUUUGACUUGGUCCUGCAAAGUUU